Molecule: non-coding RNA, 246 nt
Organism: Pelobates cultripes (western spadefoot toad)
Lineage: Eukaryota; Metazoa; Chordata; Amphibia; Anura; Pelobatidae
Source: the annotation of a GenBank genome assembly
ACCACGUCAAUGCGCUUAAUUGGUCUGGGUGCCUAUAGUAUCCCUUUAAACAUGUCAGUAAACAUAUAUAUAGAAACAUAUUAAAGUAAUUAAUCAAUUACACGUCAUUGCAGUUACUACGACAUCAGGCGGAUGCUGAAGAGGAAGGUGAAGGCAGCAGCCGCCUCCAGGAAAACAGGAGGCGGUUCACAAGAACUGGACCUGCUGCCCUAUGAAGAGGAGCUCCUGCAGUUCCUGGGAAGAGAC